CAGUGAAAUUUGUUCCGUCGGAACGAGUGAAAUAUCCUCAAUGUGAAAUAUUGCUUCGCAAAUGUGAAAUACGUCUGCGGCGUGUGAAAUCGCUG
RNAcentral lists this small RNA (95 nucleotides) under Clostridium sp. CAG:413. RNAcentral's name for it is "Gut-1 RNA". It matches the Rfam family "Gut-1 RNA". The record is from Rfam by way of RNAcentral. Lineage: Bacteria; Bacillati; Bacillota; Clostridia; Eubacteriales; Clostridiaceae.